CAGUCCCGCGGUAAUACAGAGGGUGCGAGCGUUAAUCGGAUUUACUGGGCGUAAAGCGUGCGCAGGCGGUUCGUUAAGACAGAUGUGAAAUCCCCGGGCUUAACCUGGGAACUGCAUUUGUGACUGACGGGCUAGAGUAUGGCAGAGGGGGGUAGAAUUCCACGUGUAGCAGUGAAAUGCGUAGAGAUGUGGAGGAAUACCGAUGGCGAAGGCAGCCCCCUGGGCCAAUACUGACGCUCAUGCACGAAAGCGUGGGGAGCAAACAGGAUUAGAUACCCCGGUAGUCCCUGUCUCUUAUACA
This 301-nucleotide ribosomal RNA is filed under the name uncultured bacterium. RNAcentral describes it as "partial 16S ribosomal RNA". It matches the Rfam family "Bacterial small subunit ribosomal RNA", at positions 512 to 808 of the family's 1533-position model. The record is from RNAcentral.